Molecule: ribosomal RNA, 301 nt
Filed under: uncultured bacterium
Lineage: Bacteria
Description: partial 16S ribosomal RNA
Rfam family: Bacterial small subunit ribosomal RNA
Source: RNAcentral
CAGUCGCCACGGUAACACGUAGGGUGCAAGCGUUAAUCGGAAUUACUGGGCGUAAAGCGUGCGCAGGCGGUUUGUUAAGACAGAUGUGAAAUCCCCGGGCUCAACCUGGGAACUGCAUUUGUGACUGGCAAGCUAGAGUCUGGCAGAGGGGGGUGGAAUUCCGCGUGUAGCAGUGAAAUGCGUAGAUAUGCGGAGGAACACCGAUGGCGAAGGCAGCCCCCUGGGCCAACACUGACGCUCAUGCACGAAAGCGUGGGGAGCAAACAGGAUUAGAUACCCGUGUAGUCCCUGUCUCUUAUAC